AAUGAGCCUGCGAGUUGUGGUGUCUGGCAAGGUUAAGCAAACGCGAAGCCGUAGCGAAAGCGAGUCUGAAUAGGGCGCUUAGUCAGAUGCUGCAGACCCGAAACGAAGUGAUCUAUCCAUGAGCAAGUUGAAGCUAGUGUAAGAACUAGUGGAGGACUGAACCCAUAGGCGUUGAAAAGCCCCGGGAUGACUUGUGGAUAGGGGUGAAAGGCCAAUCAAACUUCGUGAUAGCUGGUUCUCUCCGAAAUAUAUUUAGGUAUAGCGUUGUGUCGUAAUAUAAGGGGGUAGAGCACUGAAUGGGCUAGGGCAUACACCAAUGUACCAAACCCUAUCAAACUCCGAAUACCUUAUAUGUAAUCACAGCAGUCAGGCGGCGAGUGAUAAAAUCCGUCG
This 393-nucleotide ribosomal RNA is filed under the name Campylobacter jejuni. Its description in RNAcentral is "partial 23S ribosomal RNA". It matches the Rfam family "Bacterial large subunit ribosomal RNA", at positions 614 to 1010 of the family's 2925-position model. Lineage: Bacteria; Pseudomonadati; Campylobacterota; Epsilonproteobacteria; Campylobacterales; Campylobacteraceae. The record is from RNAcentral.